AGGAGAAUAGCUCAAUGGUGAGAGUACUUGCUAUGUAAGCAUGAGGUCCUGAGUUCAAAUCCCUAGUCCCCUC
RNAcentral lists this transfer RNA (73 nucleotides) under Cricetulus griseus (Chinese hamster). It matches the Rfam family "tRNA". Rfam says of the family: Transfer RNA (tRNA) molecules are approximately 80 nucleotides in length. Their secondary structure includes four short double-helical elements and three loops (D, anti-codon, and T loops). Further hydrogen bonds mediate the characteristic L-shaped molecular structure. tRNAs have two regions of fundamental functional importance: the anti-codon, which is responsible for specific mRNA codon recognition, and the 3' end, to which the tRNAs corresponding amino acid is attached (by aminoacyl-tRNA synthetases). tRNAs cope with the degeneracy of the genetic code in two manners: having more than one tRNA (with a specific anti-codon) for a particular amino acid; and 'wobble' base-pairing, i.e. permitting non-standard base-pairing at the 3rd anti-codon position. Lineage: Eukaryota; Metazoa; Chordata; Mammalia; Rodentia; Cricetidae. The record is from Rfam by way of RNAcentral.